CCCAGUUUUAGUUUUACCUACGAAAGACUUCAUCAUAAACACAUCAUUAUGAUAUCAUCCGUCCAGUUCGACUUCGAGGUAGCGGAACCGACCCGUAGUUCGACGUUCUCCGAACAGGUCUAUCAGAGGACCGAUCGACGUUAAACUCUUCGACGAUGAAACUCCCUAGACGGCAGAGACCGUCUAGUUAAUGGUGGUUAAAUAGUGAUCUGUGACCCGACAGUCCGCCGUGCCCGAGCUCUUCUCAAACUCAGACAUGUUCACGUGUUGUUCCCUCCCAGUUUUAGUUUUGAUGACGGAAGAAAAGCGCAUAUAGCCAGUUAUAAUGAAGUAAUCAAUCGAUGGACUGUUUAACCCCCAAACCAGCAGACAUAUAUCAUCCGACUAUGUAUUACUCAAACGGGAAGAAAGGUCCAUUAAUCUAUAUAUGACUGAUGUUUACCUUGUGUUUCGAUGGCGGCGCGCUUCACUAGAUCUCGUCUAUAAUCAGCUACUUUGGCGUCUUGGGUGCCGGGACGGUAAUAGUGAAAACUUCCUGUAGUGUCCACUAAAGAGACUGCUAGUCCUCUAACCUGCGCCACCUAAACGUCACCAAAUAUUCCCUUAUAAACCGCUAUUCCACUAGCGGCACUUCUUCGACAGGUUGCGAAUAUACGUACUUUGACUUAAACUAGCUCUCUAACUUACGGAUUACGCCCGUUUCGUGUUUUUACAUCAUUCUAAAGACCCUAUAACACUACUGUGUGUUUCUUCAUCCCUUUCUAAGCUACCUUUUGUACAGUACCGUCUCUAGGUGGUUUCUAACGAAACGAAGCUUAUACAUGCAUUUCUCCCAGAACUAUUCAUAUAGUUACCACGUAUAGCACUCACCCCUUGCACGAUAUUUUAUUAGUUUCCCUAGACACUCCCAGACGUCAUGGAAGUGCUAUUAGUAUAAUAAGUGGACCUAGACUUUGGGCGGUUAUAUGACGAGCUGCUAUUGUACCUUGGCUUUUAAUGACUAAAACCGGAUAGUUCUACGAAACUACUUUUAGUUUCGGUCCUAUAAUGGUUUUGAUAUAAUCCUUGUUAUCCUAUAAACCGUGGUCUUUAAGCGCUUCCUCCACAUUAGCGUGCGUCGCGACUGAACAUAUCACAACCACAGUAAUAGGACCUUUAUGACUGGCCCGUCUUCCCCAUAGUUCUAUAACCCCUAAACCUCGCUAUCUAACCUCUCUAGUGUUGCUCUGUGUGAUACGCUCGUUUAUGCUCAUACGAUGCUCUAUCGAAAUCUCACGUCCCUUAAGUUAGGUUUCUACUCUGGUGGAUCACGUGCUCUAUAUUAACUGUCCGAUGUGUGUUACCUUUCAUAGGUCCCGACCAAACUCUUUUAUAAUAUGGAAAGAUGGCUCGGCCGAGUUGAUGGUCCGAGCGACAUGUCAGACCAGCUCUGCUUUGGUGGUGAAGGGCAAUUUCAGCCGGUCACGCCGCGCCGCUGCUUCUACCGCAGCUAGAUGCUGUACCACCUCGGCUACAGCAUAGACACGCACUCGCACCACGUCCGCGCCCUGGACGGGUGGUACCUGUAGUGGCCGCGCGACCUGGGCAUGCAUCUCCACUUCGACCCUUUAAAGUUCUCGCACUGCGCCGUGGAUCUCUUCUUGCGGUUGGGCCACACCGCUGUUUACAAGUGGAAGAGACGGCGGGUGGACGUCAGGUUGGUCGAACUCCAAUAGCACUCCGUGUUCCUGCAAGAAGCACGGCUGAAACAACCGGCGCAGCAGAAGCUGUACAGGCUGUAGGGGUCGACGUAGGGUGGACUGUCGGUCAACCGGGGCGUUACCAUGGUGGAAAGGUUACGGGUGCCGCUCUCCAAGGGGGUACCGUUAUCGGAGCCGCUCUAAUACGAGCGGCAAACCGAACCGUGCGUCGGGCUGCUCCGGAAGUACCUCCGCACCGUGAGCCCAUGCGUGAGGGAGAGGGCUCUCUCCGAGUACUUGUGCGCGAGGUUCCACAUGAUGAGGGGGUUCGAGUAGAUGGAGUUCCACAAGUAGUAGUGCCGCGUCCUGGAGUAGCCGCGACUCUUCCUGGCUGGCGACCGCCGCCGGUAGCGGUUCUAGAUCUAACCGUUGGUCUAUUCCUCCUGUGCCGGCCCCGUUGGCGUCCCCAGCCGCUUGGGCCGUACCUUGCUCCUCAAGUACAAGCACCAGUCGCUCGGUAAACUCCUGGGGGACCAACACUGCCACCUCCUCUUCCAACCGCGGCCCUCCCUGCUCGGGUAGCCGGCACAAUAGUAGGGGCACCGCAGGGGCAUGCACAGCGCGUUGCUGGACCAGUUCAGCCACGGCAGUUUUACCAAGUGGGAUACCGCGCAGUACUGCCACCUACGCCGUCGCCGCCUGUAGUGCUGCCCCUAGUUCGUGGCUCUCGUGAGGUUCUGCAAGCCUGCGCCGAGCAGACGGCACGGAAGUGCGUGCCGUCUUGACGGCAUGCCCGGUGUUAGCCGGCAAGCAAGUGACGAAAGAGUAGGUUGCCUGGAGACGAUGGGGUGGUUGAACGAACAAAGUGAUAUGAGACUUAGACGAGCGCGGUUUUUAACAUCGUCACUCCUACAUUCCAGUAGUGGCGUACCCAAUCUUUUCAUC
This 2624-nucleotide ribosomal RNA is filed under the name Triticum aestivum (bread wheat). RNAcentral describes it as "partial small subunit ribosomal RNA". Lineage: Eukaryota; Viridiplantae; Streptophyta; Magnoliopsida; Poales; Poaceae. The record is from RNAcentral.